GUGAUGUGGCAGCAGAUGUACUAAAAUUGCAAGGGUACAGAGAAGAUUAGCAUGGUCCCUGUUAAGGAUGACACACAAAUUCAUAAAGCAUUCCAUUUUUUU
RNAcentral lists this small nuclear RNA (102 nucleotides) under Salvator merianae (Argentine black and white tegu). Lineage: Eukaryota; Metazoa; Chordata; Lepidosauria; Squamata; Teiidae. The record is from RNAcentral.